Molecule: transfer RNA, 71 nt
Filed under: Marmota monax (woodchuck)
Lineage: Eukaryota; Metazoa; Chordata; Mammalia; Rodentia; Sciuridae
Description: tRNA.Ala
Rfam family: tRNA
About the family: Transfer RNA (tRNA) molecules are approximately 80 nucleotides in length.
Source: RNAcentral
GGGGUUGUGGCUCAGUGGUAGAGUGCUUGCCUAGCACACAUGAGGCCCUGGGUUUGAUCCUCAGCACCACA